This 78-nucleotide transfer RNA is filed under the name Candidatus Uhrbacteria bacterium RIFCSPHIGHO2_02_FULL_60_10. RNAcentral's name for it is "tRNA-Glu". It matches the Rfam family "tRNA". From Rfam's summary of the family: Transfer RNA (tRNA) molecules are approximately 80 nucleotides in length. Their secondary structure includes four short double-helical elements and three loops (D, anti-codon, and T loops). Lineage: Bacteria; Candidatus Uhriibacteriota. The record is from RNAcentral. RNAcentral also lists the same sequence under 3 other names.
GGUCCCAUCGUCUAGCCCGGUCCAGGACGUCUCCCUCUCACGGAGAAAACUGGGGUUCGAAUCCCCAUGGGACUACCA